RNAcentral lists this ribosomal RNA (1947 nucleotides) under Triticum aestivum (bread wheat). RNAcentral's name for it is "partial small subunit ribosomal RNA". Lineage: Eukaryota; Viridiplantae; Streptophyta; Magnoliopsida; Poales; Poaceae. The record is from RNAcentral.
AUGGCGGGGCGAGGUGAUUGGCGUGGGCAGAGGCCAAGCAACUCAGGCAACUCAGGCGGCGGCCGCGGAUCCUGGAUGCAAGGCCGCAGAGAUGCUGGUGGCGGGGGAUUCUGGGCGGCAGGGAGAGGUGAUGUAGGUGGUGGUGGUGCUGGCUGGCGUGGACCAACGCAACAGAGACCGCCCACUCCUCCAAUUUUCCCCACUCAGCCCAAUCCUUUGGGUGGGGGUACAUAUGGCGUGGAGCAUGGAUUUGGAGGCGGUCAACAUGGCCAGGGGGAGUAUUUAGUUGGCCGUGAUGGGCAUGGAUCUGGGCAACAUGGAAAUGGAGGUUUUGUAUCCGGGCAGCAAGGGCAGUUCUACCAACAGCCUCUAAUUCCUCCUUCAGGUAACUUUCAGACACAUCCUGCUGUUGGGUUUGGAGCAGUUCAGUUUGGCCAGAUGGGCAAUGAUGCUUUGGGUAGUUAUCAGUAUUCUGGAACUAGCAACUCACCUAAUCAACAAGGACGGGGGUAUGGUUAUACUGAUUUCAAGUCAAAUCAAUCUGGUACUAGCACUGGGCCUGCAAAUAUUGGGAGCAGAUCACAGAUGACAUGCUAUAAAUGUGAGAAUACUGGUCAUGCUGUUAAGGAUUGUCAGACUGUGUUAUUUUGCGUCAACCGCACCAAGGAUUUACACCUCUCGCGCAAGUGCUCUUUCCUGUCACAACCUAAGCCUGUUGCCAGUCUGGUUGGUAGUGUUGCUGAUGGUUUGCAGAUGUUCUCAACAAGGACCGGAAAAAAGCCAGAGCCAGAUAAAAACAAGCAGGCUAUAGCUAUUAUUACUGUGAAAAGUGCAAGCCUGACUGCGUUACAACUUGUUAACUCUCUCAGCAUGAUGUUCCAGUGGGGAUGGGAGUGGCAGGCUAAGCCUUAUCUCAGAGAUAGCUUUUUAGUCAAAUUCCCUUCCGUGAAUAAAAUUGAUGAAAUGAAGGCGUACAAUUUCUUUGGUCUGAUUGGAACAACAACUAAUAUCAAAGUGGAUAGAUGGACCAACUCUUCAACUGCAGCUUUCAAACUCUAUGUUUGCUGGGUUAGAAUAACAGGGGUUCCCGAGACACUGGAGCACUAUCAAGGUUUUUGUGAAGCUAGCUCUCUCAUUGGUUCAGUUUUGGAACUGGACAUGGAGCUCUAUAGGCAAUGUGGAGUUCUCAGGGCUAAUAUUGGAGUUAUGAAUCCUAGGAAAAUACCCUCUAGUGCUCCCCUGAAUGAAAGUGGUUUUAUCUUCAACAUAUACUUUCAACUGGAAGACAUAGUGGAGGAGGGUGGUCCUAUGGAGGAUGGUAUCUUGGUUAGCUAUCCUAGUGGUCCUGAUUCAUCUCAUAAUGCUACAGAGAAAAGACCGAGAGAGCAAAGUAACAAUGAGGAGGUGGGAUGUAGCAAAUCUCCAAAACAUGGUAUUGGGGCUGGAAGGUCGGAUAAAGGAAACACUUCAGGUUCAUCAGAGGUUGUGAUUCCGAGUCAAUACGAACUUGAUAAGAACAUGGUUGCUGAAAAUGAGGUGAGGCAAAAAUUACUUGACAAGAAGCGGGAUGCUGAAAGAGUUCUCUCUGGUGUGGAACAGGUUAAUGCUGAGUUUGCUAAUAGCGCUGCUAUGUUGGAGGAUUUCACAGAAGUGCCUGACAGCCAAAAGGAAGUAGAGUUUGAUUGCACUCAAGACCCAGAUGACUUUGCUAGGAGGCUUGGGAUUAGCACUCAAAAAGUUAAAGAAAUCAAUAAGCAGAAAAUGAGGGAGGCUGAAGCCAGAGUUCAGAAAGCAAAAGACAAGGCGGCGCUUGAUGAAGCUGCUAGGAGAAGGAGUGAAAGGCAUAAGAAUAAAGAUGAGGGGCAGACUAUGGACAAGGCUACUGAGAUGGCAAAGAAGAAAAAAUUGGAAAUGGCACCAGAGAAAAGGUGUGCAAAAAAUGCUUAG